RNAcentral lists this ribosomal RNA (468 nucleotides) under uncultured bacterium. RNAcentral describes it as "partial 16S ribosomal RNA". It matches the Rfam family "Bacterial small subunit ribosomal RNA", at positions 28 to 507 of the family's 1533-position model. The record is from RNAcentral.
GACGAACGCUGGCGGCGUGCUUAACACAUGCAAGUCGAACGGAAAGGCCCUGCUUUUGUGGGGUGCUCGAGUGGCGAACGGGUGAGUAACACGUGAGUAACCUGCCCUUGACUUUGGGAUAACUUCAGGAAACUGGGGCUAAUACCGGAUAGGAGCUCCUGCUGCAUGGUGGGGGUUGGAAAGUUUCGGCGGUUGGGGAUGGACUGGCGGCUUAUCAGCUUGUUGGUGGGGUAGUGGCUUACCAAGGCUUUGACGGGUAGCCGGCCUGGGAGGGGGACCGGCCACAAUGGUACUGAGAUACGGCGCAGACUGCUACGGGAGGCAGCAGGGGGGAAUAUGGCACAAUGGGCGGAAGCCUGAUGCAGCAACGCCGCGUGCGUGAUGACGGCCUUCGGGUUGUAAACCGCUUUCGCCUGAGACGAAGCGUGAGUGACGGUAAUGGGUAAAGAAGCACCGGCUAACUACGUG